This 497-nucleotide ribosomal RNA is filed under the name uncultured bacterium. RNAcentral describes it as "partial 16S ribosomal RNA". It matches the Rfam family "Bacterial small subunit ribosomal RNA", at positions 28 to 507 of the family's 1533-position model. The record is from RNAcentral.
GACGAACGCUGGCGGCGUGCCUAAUACAUGCAAGUUGAGCGCUGAAGGUUGGUACUUGUACCGACUGGAUGAGCAGCGAACGGGUGAGUAACGCGUGGGGAAUCUGCCUUUGAGCGGGGGACAACAUUUGGAAACGAAUGCUAAUACCGCAUAAAAACUUUAAACACAAGUUUUAAGUUUGAAAGAUGCAAUUACAUCACUCAAAGAUGAUCCCGCGUUGUAUUAGCUAGUUGGUGAGGUAAAGGCUCACCAAGGCGAUGAUACAUAGCCGACCUGAGAGGGUGAUCGGCCACAUUGGGACUGAGACACGGCCCAAACUCCUACGGGAGGCAGCAGUAGGGAAUCUUCGGCAAUGGACGAAAGUCUGACCGAGCAACGCCGCGUGAGUGAAGAAGGUGUUCGGAUCGUAAAACUCUGUUGGUAGAGAAGAACGUUGGUGAGAGUGGAAAGCUCAUCAAGUGACGGUAACUACCCAGAAAGGGACGGCUAACUACGUG